Molecule: ribosomal RNA, 433 nt
Filed under: uncultured bacterium
Lineage: Bacteria
Description: partial 16S ribosomal RNA
Rfam family: Bacterial small subunit ribosomal RNA
Source: RNAcentral
AACGAACGCUGGCAGCAUGCCUAACACAUGCAAGUCGAACGAGACCUUCGGGUCUAGUGGCGCACGGGUGCGUAACGCGUGGGAACCUGCCCUUAGGUUCGGAAUAACUCCCCGAAAGGGGUGCUAAUACCGGAUAAUGUCUUCGGACCAAAGAUUUAUCGCCUUUGGAUGGGCCCGCGUUGGAUUAGCUAGUUGGUAGGGUAAAAGCCUACCAAGGCGACGAUCCAUAGCUGGUCUGAGAGGAUGAUCAGCCACACUGGGACUGAGACACGGCCCAGACUCCUACGGGAGGCAGCAGUGGGGAAUAUUGGACAAUGGGCGAAAGCCUGUUCCAGCAAUGCCGCGUGAGUGAUGAAGGCCUUAGGGUUGUAAAGCUCUUUUACCCGGGAUGAUAAUGACAGUACCGGGAGAAUAAGCUCCGGCUAACUCCGUG